Solenopsis invicta (red fire ant) is the source of this 1760-nucleotide long non-coding RNA. RefSeq lists it as uncharacterized. The record is from RefSeq and is a predicted model, not a curated record. The transcript has 2 exons. NCBI's taxonomy places the organism in Eukaryota, Metazoa, Arthropoda, Insecta, Hymenoptera, Formicidae.
AAAGUUGGUUUGCGGUAUUGAUCGAAAAUAAUCCUAUUAUUCACAUUUAUAAGCAUAACAUCAAGAAAACUGAUUUUUCCCUCGAUCUCUCUCUCCAUAGUAAAUUGUAAACGGUCAUGCAUGGAAUUAAACGUGUCAAGAAUGCCCGAUAGCGAAUUAGCCGGGGCUGCUAAUAUAAUGUCAUCUACAUAUCUGCAGUAAAAAGGUAGAUGAAAAGAAAGGAGUUUUAACGCCUUACACUCCAAAUCCUGCAUGACCAGAUCCGCUAAAAUAGGAGACAGCGGUGAUCCCAUCGGCAGACCGAAGAUCUGUUUAUAGCAAGUAUUAUUAAAUUUAAAAUAUGUGGAAUCUAUUAUUAAAUUUAGAGCUUUAAGAAAUUCAUUGACCGGAACAGUAGUAUUUUUUGAAAUCAGAUCCCAUCUGGUCGUGACGCUUUCCACCGCUAAGUUUUUUGGAACGUUGGUGAAAAGAGACACGACGUCCAAUGACACUAAGACGUGAUCCGAUUCCACGUGAAGGCCAUUAAGUUUAUUGACCAAAUGGAAGCUAUUUUUCACGAAACUAUCUGCUUCCGGUAUGCUGUUAUAAAUUAUGUUAUGUAAAAAAUAAGCUAGAGAGUGUAACGGACUAUUUAUGGAAGAAAUUAUAAUUCUUAAAGGGUUAUUAGGUUUGUGGAUCUUCGGCAGGCCGUAGGCUCUCGGCAAAACACCGUCCGUUGUCAAUAAACUCCUAUAAAUAUGUUGUUCAAUGAAACCUUUAUCUUUCCAUAUGGAGAGAAGAGAGCGAGUCUCUUUGGUUAAUUUUUGAAUCGGAUCUUUGGAUAAUUUGACGUAAAUAGACUCGUCAGAGAGCAUGCCUUCCAUCUUCGAGAUAUAAUCAUUCUUGUCAAGGGCAACUGUUACAUUACCCUUGUCCGCUCUGGUAAACAAAAUAUUAGGGUGCUCCCUAACGAAUCUUCCCGUGGUUCGUAACCAGUCUUUAAUUAGCUGGUCAUUGAUAUUUACCUGACGGUCGCUGCGAAACAAGGUCUCCAAGAUCGAUACCGAACGAUUCCUUAUUGCCACGUGUAUGUUUUCUCGGUAUUGUGAGAUGUUAAGUUCUAUGUGUUUGAUGAAUUCUAAUAAUGUUCUUCCUCUGUCACCAUCCAAUAAAGGUAAACCAAAGCGGUCCCCCAGUUGUAAGAGAUAUUGGACGUCCCUCGGGAUGUCAUUAUUGCUUAGAUUAGUAAACCAAUCGUUAUGCAAAGUGUCCAGAGGAAUCUCAGAAUUAAAUUCAGAGGGAGACACAUGGAUUUUAUGUAUUGUCUCAUUCACACUGGGCGUAAGCCGUUGGAAAGAAAAAGUUGUUUUCUCAUUAGUCACAUCCGAAGUCUUGGCGACAUAUUUAAUGUCUCUUAUGUUAUUAAUCCAAUACUGACGCUUUUUAUAGUCAUCAUUUUAACAUCAUUGUCUUAUUUAUUUAUUUAUUCAUUUGUUAGCAACCAAUCGAUGUUGUUUCACAAAACUCUUGUCUCGGCACACGCUCUGUGAGGUUGUUCACAAUAUCAUUAUGCUAAGACGCUAUAAUAAGAUGUAAUCUCUAUCUUUUUGACUUGUAUUAUCACUGAAGAAGACCGUUAUUAAAGGUAGAAACGUUUGCCUGCUUGACAUUGAAGUCUUUCGUUAUUUAUUUGCACCCGACAUCCUGCGUGGCUCUUGAGCUCACUAUUCUUUAUUUUAUUUUAAUUAUAAGAGCCUUAACCCUUGUUUUAUUGUUUUGUU